Molecule: ribosomal RNA, 924 nt
Filed under: uncultured bacterium
Lineage: Bacteria
Description: bacterial SSU rRNA
Rfam family: Bacterial small subunit ribosomal RNA
Source: RNAcentral
UUCGCCCUUAGAGUUUGAUCCUGGCUCAGGAUGAACGCUGGCGGCGUGCCUAAUACAUGCAAGUCGAACGAAUCUUCUUCGGAAGAUGAGUGGCGAACGGGUGAGUAAUACAUAGGUAACCUGCCCCUGUGCGGGGGAUAACAGGAGGAAACUCCUGCUAAUACCGCAUAGCCAUGAGCACCGCAUGGAGCUCAUGCCAAAUAUCCUUCAGGGGAUAGCGCAGGGAUGGACCUAUGGCGCAUUAGCUAGUUGGCGGGGCAACGGCCCACCAAGGCAACGAUGCGUAGCCGGCCUGAGAGGGCGGACGGCCACAUUGGGACUGAGACACGGCCCAGACUCCUACGGGAGGCAGCAGUAGGGAAUUUUCGGCAAUGGGGGAAACCCUGACCGAGCAACGCCGCGUGAGCGAAGAAGGCCUUCGGGUCGUAAAGCUCUGUUGUAAAGGAAGAACGUCGCAUGCAGGAAAUGGUGUGCGAGUGACGGUACUUUACCAGAAAGCCACGGCUAACUACGUGCCAGCAGCCGCGGUAAUACGUAGGUGGCGAGCGUUAUCCGGAAUCAUUGGGCGUAAAGAGGGAGCAGGCGGCCGCAAGGGUCUGUGGUGAAAGACCGAAGCUAAACUUCGGUAAGCCAUGGAAACCGGGCGGCUAGAGUGCGGAAGAGGAUCGUGGAAUUCCAUGUGUAGCGGUGAAAUGCGUAGAUAUAUGGAGGAACACCAGUGGCGAAGGCGACGGUCUGGGCCGCAACUGACGCUCAUUCCCGAAAGCGUGGGGAGCAAAUAGGAUUAGAUACCCUGGUAGUCCACGCCGUAAACGAUGAGUACUAGGUGUCGGGGGUUACCCCCCUCGGUGCCGCAGCUAACGCAUUAAGUACUCCGCCUGGGGAGUACGCUCGCAAGAGUGAAACUCAAAGGAAUUGACGGAA